GACGAACGCUGGCGGCGUGCUUAACACAUGCAAGUCGAACGGUAAGGCCCUUCGGGGUACACGAGUGGCGAACGGGUGAGUAACACGUGGGUGAUCUGCCCUGCACUUCGGGAUAAGCCUGGGAAACUGGGUCUAAUACCGGAUAGGACUCCUGGCUUCAUGGUUGGGGGUGGAAAGCUUUUGCGGUGUGGGAUGGGCCCGCGGCCUAUCAGCUUGUUGGUGGGGUAAUGGCCUACCAAGGCGACGACGGGUAGCCGGCCUGGGAGGGUGACCGGUCAAACUGGGACUGAGAUACGGCCCAGACUCUUACGGGAGGCAGCAGUGGGGAAUAUUGCACAAUGGGCGCAAGCCUGAUGCAGCGACGCCGCGUGAGGGAUGACGGCCUUCGGGUUGUAAACCUCUUUCAGCUAUGACGAAGCGCAAGUGACGGUAGUAGCAGAAGAAGGACCGGCCAACUACGUGCCAGCCGCCGCGGUAA
This 478-nucleotide ribosomal RNA is filed under the name uncultured bacterium. RNAcentral describes it as "partial 16S ribosomal RNA". It matches the Rfam family "Bacterial small subunit ribosomal RNA", at positions 28 to 523 of the family's 1533-position model. The record is from RNAcentral.